UAUCUAAUAAGUGACAUCUCAUAACCUACGUUGGCUAUAUAGUUCUAGAACUUAGGGAUUGCUUAUAGGAACCCAGUCCUAACUAAUAGGUGUGCCCCCAUCCCUAGGCUCGCUCGAUGCUGAAUCCUACUCCCAAUUAAAAGACACUGAACUGAAUAUACUGAACUGGACUGGACUAAUACUGAGAUUACUGAGUUUUUCUAAGUUCUAUAACUGACUGAAUUCUACUGAGU
This 233-nucleotide long non-coding RNA is filed under the name Capsicum annuum. RNAcentral describes it as "long non-coding RNA (CANN_LNC015357)". The record is from RNAcentral. Lineage: Eukaryota; Viridiplantae; Streptophyta; Magnoliopsida; Solanales; Solanaceae.